RNAcentral lists this ribosomal RNA (465 nucleotides) under Vreelandella stevensii. Its description in RNAcentral is "partial 16S ribosomal RNA". It matches the Rfam family "Bacterial small subunit ribosomal RNA", at positions 338 to 795 of the family's 1533-position model. The record is from RNAcentral. Lineage: Bacteria; Pseudomonadati; Pseudomonadota; Gammaproteobacteria; Oceanospirillales; Halomonadaceae.
CCUACGGGCGGCAGCAGUGGGGAAUAUUGGACAAUGGGGGCAACCCUGAUCCAGCCAUGCCGCGUGUGUGAAGAAGGCCCUCGGGUUGUAAAGCACUUUCAGUGAGGAAGAACGCCUGGUGGUUAAUACCCAUCAGGAAAGACAUCACUCACAGAAGAAGCACCGGCUAACUCCGUGCCAGCAGCCGCGGUGAUACGGAGGGUGCGAGCGUUAAUCGGAAUUACUGGGCGUAAAGCGCGCGUAGGUGGCUUGAUAAGCCGGUUGUGAAAGCCCCGGGCUCAACCUGGGAACGGCAUCCGGAACUGUCAAGCUAGAGUGCAGGAGAGGAAGGUAGAAUUCCCGGUGUAGCGGUGAAAUGCGUAGAGAUCGGGAGGAAUACCAGUGGCGAAGGCGGCCUUCUGGACUGACACUGACACUGAGGUGCGAAAGCGUGGGUAGCAAACAGGAUUAGAUACCCUAGUAGUC